UUAGGAAUAUUGGACAAUGGGGGCAACCCUGAUCCAGCCAUGCCGCGUGAGUGAAGACGGCCUUAGGGUUGUAAAGCUCUUUCAGGUGUGAGGAUAAUGACAGUAACACCAGAAGAAGCCCCGGCUAAAUUCGUGCCAGCAGCCGCGGUAAUACGAAUGGGGCGAGCGUUGUUCGGAAUGACUGGGCGUAAAGCGUAUGUAGGCGGAAUGGAAAGUCAGAAGUGUAAGCCCGGGGCUUAACCCCGGAAUUGCUUUUGAAACUUCCAUUCUAGAGUUCUGGAGAGGCAAGGGGAAUUCCGAGUGUAGAGGUGAAAUUCGCAGAUAUUCGGAGGAACACCAGUGGCGUAGGCGCCUUGCUGGACAGAUACUGACGCUGAGAUACGAAAGCGUGGGGAGCAAACAGGAUUAGAUACCCCCGUAGUCC
RNAcentral lists this ribosomal RNA (424 nucleotides) under uncultured prokaryote. RNAcentral's name for it is "bacterial SSU rRNA". It matches the Rfam family "Bacterial small subunit ribosomal RNA", at positions 355 to 796 of the family's 1533-position model. The record is from RNAcentral.